CCAGAGCCAGGGGAAAUGUUGUUCUACCCAGUCAGGUGGCUGCAGCCCAGGUCCCGUGUGGCAGCCCCUGACCUUGACCCCAGCCCCCUUUGCUGAGUUAAUCACUAACGGGGCAGCUCCCGGCUGACAUCAAACCAGGAGCUAAACAAACAGCAGCUAAUGGGGCAGGCCAGUGGCUCUGCCCGCCCUGCCCUCACAGCUCUGCCUGGGUCUCUGGGGGUCGCUAGUCCUGUACCUGCCAUGGCCUGUCCUGCCCUCGGCAGCACCAGCAUCCCUUCCUGCCCUGGGACCGGCCCCGAGCCCUGCUGGCUUCUCUGUCCCCGGCAGGUUCUGUGGCCAGACAGAAUGCUUGCUGAACGCUCGGCCCUAGAUCAGCAGGAAUUCACUCCGGGCCGGUCUCUGGCCUGGGCGCGACGGGAGAUCGCCGCCGGCAACGGCACCAACGCCUUCUACGCCAACCCUGCCACGUCGUCAUAGGAUCUCUAGGGGCACCACCCGGGGACCGGCGGGAGCAGAGCUCCCACCAUCGCCAUGUGCUUCCUGCAGCUGGACUCCAGGGUGCCGGGCAGGGCCGACAAGGCAGUCCCGGGCAGGGGUUUGCUGCACCGGGGGGGGACGGGGGGCGUUUGGAGUCACAGUGUGGCAGGGUGGGGAGGGGGUGACUGCCCCCCCUUGCAGCCCAUGGCCCUGCAGGAGGGGGAGCUGCUUAAUUCCUCCCCCGCUCCACAAGGGAGGGCAAAGGGGCUGCCCCAUAUAUCCCCCCUCCAAUCAGCCUGGACAGUGCAGGGAGUAUGGCAGGGGCUCCCCAGAGGAGCCCCCCCAUACUGCCCCGAGCUGUGGAUGGGGUGUCCGCCCCCCCCCCACCCACACACAGCCUGGGGAGCCCUCUCUGGCCCAGCUCCCGCCUGUUCCCAGGAGGUGGGAGUGAGCGUCGGAAGGUUCCGGAGCAGUCGAAUUCGAACACAUGAAGGAACUCGAUGAACAAUGCGAGGGGGGACACUCCCCCCAGCUCCAAGCACCUGCUGCCCCCAAUCACUUGCCAAAUGCCGUAUCCUGCCAUGGGGCCCACAGUGUGCAGUGUUCAGGUUCCAGGGGUUACGUUUGCCUGCACCAUUAUAAAGGCCUGGGGCUCCUUUAUAAUGUAACCACUUGGCUCUGUGACGGCCGCCCCACCGUGACGGGGGGUCACAAUGUCCUUGGGAAGGUCUGUGUUUAUAGUGCUGCACAAUAAAGGGAUCUGUGGUGA
Chrysemys picta bellii (western painted turtle) is the source of this 1246-nucleotide non-coding RNA. The record is from RefSeq and is a predicted model, not a curated record. Lineage: Eukaryota; Metazoa; Chordata; Testudines; Emydidae.